Molecule: transfer RNA, 58 nt
Filed under: Salmo salar (Atlantic salmon)
Lineage: Eukaryota; Metazoa; Chordata; Actinopteri; Salmoniformes; Salmonidae
Rfam family: tRNA
About the family: Transfer RNA (tRNA) molecules are approximately 80 nucleotides in length. Their secondary structure includes four short double-helical elements and three loops (D, anti-codon, and T loops).
Source: Rfam by way of RNAcentral
UGGCUCAGUUGGCAGAGCAUGGUGUGUGCAACACCAGGGUUGUGGGUUCGAUUCCCAC